Molecule: RNase P RNA, 343 nt
Filed under: uncultured Bulleidia sp.
Lineage: Bacteria; Bacillati; Bacillota; Erysipelotrichia; Erysipelotrichales; Erysipelotrichaceae
Description: Bacterial RNase P class B
Rfam family: Bacterial RNase P class B
About the family: Ribonuclease P (RNase P) is a ubiquitous endoribonuclease, found in archaea, bacteria and eukarya as well as chloroplasts and mitochondria.
Source: RNAcentral
UUCGGGCAGCCGCUGGUCUGAUGAGGAUCAGAGGAAAGUCCAUGCUCGCACCGUCUGUGAUGGCGGUAGUGUUUGUGCAGGUCCAAUCAAUAAGGCCUGGCAGUUCUUCGGAACUGACGGCAGGCGGACACCUAAAAGGGAAACCUCAUGGUCGAUGCCUCGAACGUGUCACAGUGACGUAGUCCUUCUGGAAACAGUGGGAGUGGAACGCGAUAAACCCCGCAAGCGAGAAAUCCAAAUUUGGUAGGAGAAUUCCGGGAUGCGAAGCGAAGCGGACCGGAGGGGCUGAAAGGCUCAGAUAAAUGGCUGCCACCGGGAAUCCGGGACAGAACAUGGCUUACAG